UUAACAAUUGUUAUUAACAAAAUUCAGACUGAUGGCAAGACAAUGCAAAUGGUUUUCUUCACACCCUCCGCAGGAAGGUGUCUUCAUGGACCAAGACCACACCACCUACACCAGUAGCAGGGGCUUGUCUCGGGGGACCUCCCCCACGUGGGAGGGAGGUUAGCCGCUCCCAUGGAAGCAACAGGAAAGGUACGCAGAGUGGGUUUGAAUUGUGGUACGCGUAAAGCAUGCACUGAUUCAUUUAAUGAUCCUUCCGCAGGUUCACCUACGGAAA
RNAcentral lists this unclassified non-coding RNA (274 nucleotides) under uncultured fungus. RNAcentral describes it as "sequence contains ITS1". The record is from RNAcentral. Lineage: Eukaryota; Fungi.